AUUGAACGCUGGCGGCGUGCUUAACACAUGCAAGUCGAACGGAGUGGCGAACGGGUGAGUAACACGUGGGUGACCUGCCCUGCACUUCGGGAUAAGCCUGGGAAACUGGGUCUAAUACCGGAUAGUGUGGGAUGGGCCCGCGGCCUAUCAGCUUGUUGGUGGGGUAAUGGCCUACCAAGGCGGCGACGGGUAGCCGGACUGAGAGGGUGGACGGCCCCAUUGGGGCUGGGACACGGCCCAGACGCCUACGGGAGGCAGCAGUGGUGAAUAUUGCACAAUGGGCGGAGGCCUGAUGCAGCCAUUCCGCGUGUAUGAAGAAGGCCGUAGGGGUGUAAGCUCCUUUCACCAUCGACGCGGUAGAUGGAGAAGAAGCACCGGCUAACUACGUGCCAGCAGCCGCGUAAUAC
This 407-nucleotide ribosomal RNA is filed under the name uncultured bacterium. RNAcentral describes it as "partial 16S ribosomal RNA". It matches the Rfam family "Bacterial small subunit ribosomal RNA", at positions 28 to 526 of the family's 1533-position model. The record is from RNAcentral.